Long non-coding RNA from Pezoporus flaviventris, 306 nucleotides. RefSeq lists it as uncharacterized. The record is from RefSeq and is a predicted model, not a curated record. The transcript is spliced from 3 exons. NCBI's taxonomy places the organism in Eukaryota, Metazoa, Chordata, Aves, Psittaciformes, Psittacidae.
GUUGAGGCCGGGACGGGCCCAGCUCCCAGCCGUCUGUGAAGGCGCAGGGCGCGGCCCGACCCAAAGGGACUCCAUGACCUGAGCGGCCCAGCCGCCCGUUACUAUUCUGCGGAGCGAUUGUGGGGUCACUGCUGACAUCUGGCACCAGACCUUUGGACAUUUAUGUAGCACCCUGCAAGAAUGAAAGAGGUCAAGAUCAGCAUGAAAACACAGCUUGGCCAUCAAUGAAGGGAAGCUUGAAGGAAGCAAGUUGCUGUGCAGGUUCACAGUGUACCUGGCAGUCUCCACGUACUUGAAAGAAGAAAA